UGCCGGAUGUUCCACAUGAUCGCAUGUGAUUGUGGGAAAGAUUCUAUCGGCGUGGGAUGGGGUCGCGUCCUAUCAGCUUGUUGGUGAGGUAACGGCUCACCAAGGCUUCGACGGGUAGCCGGCCUGAGAGGGCGACCGGCCACAUUGGGACUGAGAUACGGCCCAGACUCCUACGGGAGGCAGCAGUGGGGAAUAUUGCACAAUGGGCGCAAGCCUGAUGCAGCGACGCCGCGUGAGGGAUGGAGGCCUUCGGGUUGUAAACCUCUUUUGUUUGGGAGCAAGCCUUCGGGUGAGUGUACCUUUCGAAUAAGCGCCGGCUAACUACGUGCCAGCAGCCGCGGUAAUACGUAGGGCGCAAGCGUUAUCCGGAUUUAUUGGGCGUAAAGGGCUCGUAGGCGGCUCGUCGCGUCCGGUGUGAAAGUCCAUCGCUUAACGGUGGAUCUGCGCCGGGUACGGGCGGGCUGGAGUGCGGUAGGGGAGACUGGAAUUCCCGGUGUAACGGUGGAAUGUGUAGAUAUCGGG
Molecule: ribosomal RNA, 522 nt
Filed under: Bifidobacterium bifidum
Lineage: Bacteria; Bacillati; Actinomycetota; Actinomycetes; Bifidobacteriales; Bifidobacteriaceae
Description: bacterial SSU rRNA
Rfam family: Bacterial small subunit ribosomal RNA
Source: RNAcentral